This 492-nucleotide ribosomal RNA is filed under the name uncultured bacterium. Its description in RNAcentral is "partial 16S ribosomal RNA". It matches the Rfam family "Bacterial small subunit ribosomal RNA", at positions 28 to 507 of the family's 1533-position model. The record is from RNAcentral.
GAUGAACGCUAGCUACAGGCUUAACACAUACAAGUCGAGGGGAAACGACAUCGAAAGCUUGCUUUUGAUGGGCGUCGACCGGCGCACGGGUGAGUAACGCGUAUCCAACCUGCCCACCACUUGGGGAUAACCUUGCGAAAGUAAGACUAAUACCCAAUGAUAUCUCUAGAAGACAUCUGAAAGAGAUUAAAGAUUUAUCGGUGAUGGAUGGGGAUGCGUCUGAUUAGCUUGUUGGCGGGGUAACGGCCCACCAAGGCAACGAUCAGUAGGGGUUCUGAGAGGAAGGUCCCCCACAUUGGAACUGAGACACGGGCCAAACUCCUACGGGAGGCAGCAGUAAGGAAUAUUGGUCAAGGGACGAGAGUCUGAACCAGCCAAGUAGCGUGCAGGAAGACGGCGCUAGGGGUUGUAAACUGCUUUUAUAAGGGAAUAAAGUGAGUCUCGGGAGACUUUUUGCAUGUACCUGAUGAAUAAGGACCGGCUAAUUCCGUG